This 492-nucleotide ribosomal RNA is filed under the name uncultured bacterium. RNAcentral's name for it is "partial 16S ribosomal RNA". It matches the Rfam family "Bacterial small subunit ribosomal RNA", at positions 29 to 507 of the family's 1533-position model. The record is from RNAcentral.
AGUGAACGCUGGCGGUAGGCCUAACACAUGCAAGUCGAACGGCAGCACAGUAAGAGCUUGCUCUUACGGGUGGCGAGUGGCGGACGGGUGAGGAAUACAUCGGAAUCUACUUUUUCGUGGGGGAUAACGUAGGGAAACUUACGCUAAUACCGCAUACGACCUACGGGUGAAAGCAGGGGAUCUUCGGACCUUGCGCGAUUGAAUGAGCCGAUGUCGGAUUAGCUAGUUGGCGGGGUAAAGGCCCACCAAGGCGACGAUCCGUAGCUGGUCUGAGAGGAUGAUCAGCCACCCUGGAACUGAGACACGGUCCAUGCUCCUACGGGAGGCAGCAGUGGGGAAUAUUGGACAAUGGGCGCAAGCCUGAUCCAGCCAUACCGCGUGGGUGAAGAAGGCCUUCGGGUUGUAAAGCCCUUUUGUUGGGAAAGAAAAGCAGCAGGUUAAUACCCCGCUGUUCUGACGGUACCCAAAGAAUAAGCACCGGCUAACUUCGUG